This 82-nucleotide transfer RNA is filed under the name Gammaproteobacteria bacterium. RNAcentral's name for it is "tRNA-Ser". Lineage: Bacteria; Pseudomonadati; Pseudomonadota; Gammaproteobacteria. The record is from RNAcentral.
UGGAGGGUGGCUGGGGGUGGCGGCACCCUGCUAGGGGGUUUUACAGGAACUGUAUCGAGGGUUCGAAUCCUCUCUCUCCGCC